RNAcentral lists this ribosomal RNA (537 nucleotides) under Massarina eburnea. Its description in RNAcentral is "eukaryotic LSU rRNA". The stretch from base 194 to 347 matches the Rfam family "5.8S ribosomal RNA". The record is from RNAcentral. Lineage: Eukaryota; Fungi; Ascomycota; Dothideomycetes; Pleosporales; Massarinaceae.
AGUCGUAACAAGGUUUCCGUAGGUGAACCUGCGGAAGGAUCAUUACAAAUUAGCGCUGCGGCCUCCGGGUCGCUGCCUAAACCCCUUGUCUAUGAGUACUCGUUGUUCCCUCGGCGCACCUGGUGCGCCGGCUGGAACCACCUAAACCCUUGCAUCUAAGCAUUAAAUAUCUGAUAACAAACCAAUCUAUUACAACUUUCAACAAUGGAUCUCUUGGUUCUGGCGUCGAUGAAGAACGCAGCGAAAUGCGAAACGUAGUGUGAAUUGCAGAAUUCCGUGAAUCAUCGAAUCUUUGAACGCACAUUGCACUCCCUGGUAUUCCGGGGAGUAUGCCUGUUCGAGCGUCAUUGGAAACCUCAAGCUCUGCUUGGUGUUGGGCGUCUGUCCCCUCUUCGGGGGGGACUCGCCCCAAAGUCAUUGGCAGCGGUCGUGCCAGCUUCUCGCGCAGCACAUUUGCGCUUCUCGAAGUCCUGGUGGACACGCGUCCAGCAAGCUCUCUUUAUGACUUGACCUCGGAUCAGGNUNGGGAUACCCGCU